UCUAGGAAACGUGAUAUCUUC
Molecule: non-coding RNA, 21 nt
Filed under: Caenorhabditis elegans
Lineage: Eukaryota; Metazoa; Nematoda; Chromadorea; Rhabditida; Rhabditidae
Source: RNAcentral